This 681-nucleotide ribosomal RNA is filed under the name uncultured bacterium. RNAcentral describes it as "bacterial SSU rRNA". It matches the Rfam family "Bacterial small subunit ribosomal RNA", at positions 141 to 808 of the family's 1533-position model. The record is from RNAcentral.
GGAUAACAUUUGGAAACAGAUGCUAAUACCGCAUAACAACAAAAGCCACAUGGCUUUUGUUUGAAAGAUGGCUUUGGCUAUCACUCUGGGAUGGACCUGCGGUGCAUUAGCUAGUUGGUAAGGUAACGGCUUACCAAGGCGAUGAUGCAUAGCCGAGUUGAGAGACUGAUCGGCCACAAUGGAACUGAGACACGGUCCAUACUCCUACGGGAGGCAGCAGUAGGGAAUCUUCCACAAUGGGCGCAAGCCUGAUGGAGCAACACCGCGUGAGUGAAGAAGGGUUUCGGCUCGUAAAGCUCUGUUGUUGGAGAAGAACGUGCGUGAGAGUAACUGUUCACGCAGUGACGGUAUCCAACCAGAAAGUCACGGCUAACUACGUGCCAGCAGCCGCGGUAAUACGUAGGUGGCAAGCGUUAUCCGGAUUUAUUGGGCGUAAAGCGAGCGCAGGCGGUUGCUUAGGUCUGAUGUGAAAGCCUUCGGCUUAACCGAAGAAGUGCAUCGGAAACCGGGCGACUUGAGUGCAGAAGAGGACAGUGGAACUCCAUGUGUAGCGGUGGAAUGCGUAGAUAUAUGGAAGAACACCAGUGGCGAAGGCGGCUGUCUGGUCUGCAACUGACGCUGAGGCUCGAAAGCAUGGGUAGCGAACAGGAUUAGAUACCCUGGUAGUCCAUGCCGUAAACG